UACGUAGGGGGCAAGCGUUGUCCGGAUUUACUGGGCGUAAAGAGCGCGCAGGCGGUCGUUCAAGUCGCGUGUGAAAGCCCCCGGCUCAACUGGGGAGGGUCACGCGAUACUGAUCGACUCGAAGGCAGGAGAGGGUAGUGGAAUUCCCGGUGUAGUGGUGAAAUGCGUAGAUAUGGGGAGGAAUACCGGUGGCGAAGGCGGCCUUCUGGACGAUGACUGACGCUGAGACGCGAAAGCGUGGGGAGCAAACAGG
This 253-nucleotide ribosomal RNA is filed under the name uncultured bacterium. Its description in RNAcentral is "partial 16S ribosomal RNA". It matches the Rfam family "Bacterial small subunit ribosomal RNA", at positions 524 to 776 of the family's 1533-position model. The record is from RNAcentral.